UAAAGAUAUCAUUAAUACUUGUGGGUUUGACAUAUCAAAGACAUUCAUAUUCUCAAACUUUGAUUAUGUUAAAGGUGCUUUCUAUAAAAACAUGGUCAAGGUUGCCAAGUGUGUCACAUACAACAAGGUUGUUGGCAUAUUUGGAUUCACUGGUGAU
This is a long non-coding RNA of Hibiscus syriacus, 157 nucleotides long. RefSeq lists it as uncharacterized. The record is from RefSeq and is a predicted model, not a curated record. The transcript has 3 exons. NCBI's taxonomy places the organism in Eukaryota, Viridiplantae, Streptophyta, Magnoliopsida, Malvales, Malvaceae.